Molecule: ribosomal RNA, 253 nt
Filed under: uncultured bacterium
Lineage: Bacteria
Description: partial 16S ribosomal RNA
Rfam family: Bacterial small subunit ribosomal RNA
Source: RNAcentral
UACAGAGGUGCCAAGCGUUAGGCGGAAUCACUGGGCUUAAAGCGUGCGUAGGCGGCUUGGUAAGUACCUUGUGAAAUCCCACAGCUCAACUGUGGAACUGCUCGGUAUACUGCUUAUCUUGAGCCACUUAGGGGCUGUCGGAACAAAUGGUGGAGCGGUGAAAUGCGUAGAUAUCAUUUGGAACGCCAAAGGUGAAAACAGACAGCUGGGAGUGUGCUGACGCUGAGACGCGAAAGCCAGGGGGGCGAACGGG